RNAcentral lists this ribosomal RNA (482 nucleotides) under uncultured bacterium. RNAcentral's name for it is "SSU rRNA". It matches the Rfam family "Bacterial small subunit ribosomal RNA", at positions 26 to 523 of the family's 1533-position model. The record is from RNAcentral.
AGGACGAACGCUGGCGGCGUGCUUAACACAUGCAAGUCGAGCGGUAAGGCCCUUUCGGGGGUACACGAGCGGCGAACGGGUGAGUAACACGUGGGUGACCUGCCCUUAGCUCUGGGAUAAGCCUGGGAAACUGGGUCUAAUACCGGAUAUGACCUCGCGAUGCAUGUCGUGGGGUGGAAAGCCUUGUGCGGCUAGGGAUGGGCCCGCGGCCUAUCAGCUUGUUGGUGGGGUGAUGGCCUACCAAGGCGACGACGGGUAGCCGGCCUGAGAGGGCGACCGGCCACACUGGGACUGAGACACGGCCCAGACUCCUACGGGAGGCAGCAGUGGGGAAUCUUGCGCAAUGGGCGAAAGCCUGACGCAGCGACGCCGCGUGAGGGAUGACGGCCUUCGGUUGUAAACCUCUUUCAGCCCUGACGAAGCGAAAGUGACGGUAGGGCGAGAAGAAGCACCGGCCAACUACGCGCCAGCAGCCGCGGUAA